This 775-nucleotide ribosomal RNA is filed under the name uncultured bacterium. RNAcentral's name for it is "bacterial SSU rRNA". It matches the Rfam family "Bacterial small subunit ribosomal RNA", at positions 8 to 749 of the family's 1533-position model. The record is from RNAcentral.
AGAGUUUGAUCCUGGCUCAGGACGAACGCUGGCGGCGUGCCUAAUACAUGCAAGUCGAACGCUUCUUUUCUACCGAGUGCUUGCACUCACUUGAAAAGAGGAGUGGCGGACGGGUGAGUAACACGUGGGUAACCUACCCAUCAGAGGGGGAUAACACUUGGAAACAGGUGCUAAUACCGCAUAAUAGUCGACAUCGCAUGGUGUUGAUUUGAAAGACGCUUUCGGGUGUCACUGAUGGAUGGACCCGCGGUGCAUUAGCUAGUUGGUGAGGUAACGGCUCACCAAGGCCAUGAUGCAUAGCCGACCUGAGAGGGUGAUCGGCCACACUGGGACUGAGACACGGCCCAGACUCCUACGGGAGGCAGCAGUAGGGAAUCUUCGGCAAUGGACGAAAGUCUGACCGAGCAACGCCGCGUGAGUGAAGAAGGUUUUCGGAUCGUAAAACUCUGUUGUUAGAGAAGAACAAGUAGGAGAGUAACUGCUCUUACCUUGACGGUAUCUAACCAGAAAGCCACGGCUAACUACGUGCCAGCAGCCGCGGUAAUACGUAGGUGGCAAGCGUUGUCCGGAUUUAUUGGGGCGUAAAGCGAGCGCAGGCGGUUUCUUAAGUCUGAUGUGAAAGCCCCCGGCUCACCCGGGGAGGGUCAUUGGAAACUGGGAGACUUGAGUGCAGAGAGGAGAGUGGAAUUCCAUGGUGUAGCGGUGAAAUGCGUAGAUUAUUAUGGAGGAACAGCAGGUGGCCGAAGCGACUCUUCUGGUCUGUAACUGACGCUGA